Molecule: non-coding RNA, 73 nt
Organism: Lithohypha guttulata
Lineage: Eukaryota; Fungi; Ascomycota; Eurotiomycetes; Chaetothyriales; Trichomeriaceae
Source: the annotation of a RefSeq genome assembly
GGUCGAUUGGUGUAGUGGUUAUCACAUCUCCUUUACACGGAGAGGGCCCUGGGUUCAAUCCCCAGAUCGACCU